Long non-coding RNA from Biomphalaria glabrata, 891 nucleotides. RefSeq lists it as uncharacterized. The transcript is spliced from 3 exons. Lineage: Eukaryota; Metazoa; Mollusca; Gastropoda; Planorbidae. The record is from RefSeq and is a predicted model, not a curated record.
UAAAUACAUUUUUUAAACUUUCAUUCCUAUUACAGGCAGUUAUGGAAAUUUCCGUAGGACAAAUAUAAAUUAGUCUAGCUAUCAAUCUGGGUCCAUAUGGCAACCCCACCUGUCGGCUAGGAUGGCACCUGCUUAGGAUGGAAUUUAGAGGCCGACCUCGAGGGAAGGGUAGUGGGCUGUCUUACCAGAACCGAAUGUGUAUGUGUGUUUGGGGGAAUGACCUACUUGUGCGGGAUAGAAAGCCGCCAAUCUCGCACGUAUAUGAGGCACACACUGGCUUAGAUGCCCUUUAGAAUGUCCACUAGCGAGAGGAAAAUUAGUGCGAUGAAUUGUAUAUACUUCUAUUGUCAAUAUUUAAAGCAUUCUAAAACAAGAGAAAAUUUGAUUUCUGAAAAGUGAAGAAAUGGCAAUGAUUAUAAGGGACCAGUUUCAAUGUUUAUUCAACAUUAUUCUAGAACUUCCAAGUUGCCCCACAUGUCACCAAAGAGAUGCUGCUUGCUUAGUGAACAGACCUUGUCUUCACAUCACUUACUGUGUCUCAUGCUGCAAUGGGAACACAAAAUGCAAGAUUUGUCUCAAAGAAGCAAAAUUUCAAACAUUAUUUGAUUUGUUGCAUCAGGAAACAUCUGGACAGGAAGACGUCGUUCUCAAUGUUUAAUAUACAUACAAUACAUACAUACAUACAUACAUACAUACAUACAUACAUACAUACAUACAUACAUACAUACAUACAUACAUACAUACAUACAUACAUACAUACAUACAUACAUACAUACAUACAUACAUACAUAUGUACAUACUUACAUACAUAUGUACAUACUUACAUACAUAUGUACAUACUUACAUACAUAUGUACAUAAACAUAGAGUACAACUUCAUAAAUGUGUAUAU